UUUCAGUACCCCAUCUCGCGACGCGCUAUCGACGCGUCACUUUCGGGGUGGCCCUUGAUCUGUAUGUUACCGUAGUGAAAGCGCUCCACGAAUUGUUCCUAUUGGU
Non-coding RNA from Bombyx mori (domestic silkworm), 106 nucleotides. NCBI's taxonomy places the organism in Eukaryota, Metazoa, Arthropoda, Insecta, Lepidoptera, Bombycidae. The record is from RefSeq and is marked provisional.